GAUGAACGCUGGCGGCGUGCCUAAUACAUGCAAGUCGAGCGAACAGACGAGGAGCUUGCUCCUCUGACGUUAGCGGCGGACGGGUGAGUAACACGUGGAUAACCUACCUAUAAGACUGGGAUAACUUCGGGAAACCGGAGCUAAUACCGGAUAAUAUAUUGAACCGCAUGGUUCAAUAGUGAAAGACGGUUUUGCUGUCACUUAUAGAUGGAUCCGCGCCGCAUUAGCUAGUUGGUAAGGUAACGGCUUACCAAGGCGACGAUGCGUAGCCGACCUGAGAGUGUGAUCGCCCACACUGGAACUGAGACACGGUCCAGACUCCUACGGGAGGCAGCAGUAGGGAAUCUUCCGCAAUGGGCGAAAGCCUGACGGAGCAACGCCGCGUGAGUGAUGAAGGUCUUCUGAUCGUAAAACUCUGUUAUUAGGGGAGAACAAAUGUGUAAGUAACUAUGCACGUCUUGACGGUACCUAAUCAGAAAGCCACGGCUAACUACGUG
Molecule: ribosomal RNA, 497 nt
Filed under: uncultured bacterium
Lineage: Bacteria
Description: partial 16S ribosomal RNA
Rfam family: Bacterial small subunit ribosomal RNA
Source: RNAcentral